Molecule: ribosomal RNA, 372 nt
Filed under: uncultured bacterium
Lineage: Bacteria
Description: partial 16S ribosomal RNA
Rfam family: Bacterial small subunit ribosomal RNA
Source: RNAcentral
UGGGGGAUAUUGCACAAUGGAGGAAACUCUGAUGCAGCAACGCCGCGUGAAGGAUGAAGGUCUUCGGAUUGUAAACUUUUGUACUGGGGACGAUAAUGACGGUACCCAAGCAGCAAGCUCCGGCUAACUACGUGCCAGCAGCCGCGGUAAUACGUAGGGAGCAAGCGUUGUCCGGAUUUACUGGGUGUAAAGGGUGCGUAGGCGGCUAUGCAAGUCNGUUGUGAAAACUAUGGGGCUCAACCCAUAGCCUGCAAUUGAAACUGCGUGGCUUGAGUGAAGUAGAGGUAGGUGGAAUUCCCGGUGUAGCGGUGAAAUGCGUAGAGAUCGGGAGGAACACCAGUGGCGAAGGCGACCUACUGGGCUUUAACUGAC